RNAcentral lists this ribosomal RNA (471 nucleotides) under uncultured Thiomonas sp. Its description in RNAcentral is "bacterial SSU rRNA". It matches the Rfam family "Bacterial small subunit ribosomal RNA", at positions 335 to 798 of the family's 1533-position model. The record is from RNAcentral. Lineage: Bacteria; Pseudomonadati; Pseudomonadota; Betaproteobacteria; Burkholderiales.
UUUCCUACGGGAGGCUGCAGUGGGGAAUCUUGGACAAUGGGGGCAACCCUGAUCCAGCAAUGCCGCGUGUGGGAUGAAGGCCUUCGGGUUGUAAACCACUUUUGGCGGGGGCGAAAUAUCGAGUGCUAAUACCAUUCGGUGAUGACGGUACCCGCAGAAUAAGCACCGGCUAACUACGUGCCAGCAGCCGCGGUAAUACGUAGGGUGCAAGCGUUAAUCGGAAUUACUGGGCGUAAAGCGUGCGCAGGCGGUUAGGUAAGACAGAUGUGAAAUUCCCGGGCUCAACCUGGGAACUGCAUUUGUGACUGCCUGACUAGAGUGCGGCAGAGGUGAGUGGAAUUCCGCGUGUAGCAGUGAAAUGCGUAGAUAUGCGGAGGAACACCGAUGGCGAAGGCAACUCCCUGGGCCUGCACUGACGCUCAUGCACGAAAGCGUGGGGAGCAAACAGGAUUAGAUACCCUAGUAGUCUUG